Molecule: long non-coding RNA, 8802 nt
Organism: Corvus hawaiiensis (hawaiian crow)
Lineage: Eukaryota; Metazoa; Chordata; Aves; Passeriformes; Corvidae
Exons: 7
Source: RefSeq, a predicted model, not a curated record
CUCUCUCCUCUCUCCUCUCUCCUCUCUCCUCUCUCUCCUCUCUCCUCUCCUCUCUCUCCUCUCUCUCCUCUCUCUCUUCUCUCUCCUCACAUCUAGUUAUUCAUUAGCUGGUUUGGCACUUGCUUUUCUUUUUCAGCACAUUGCUGGUGAUAGGACACUGCUUUGGGCCUAAAGCAGAAGGUUCUCUGUUUGUGGAGCUGGCCAGGGUCAAGCUGUGAGGGGCAGGAUGUGCCUCCCUGGGGAAUGUUGGAGAGAGGUGUAAGCCAGGGUCCCUCUUCCUGUCUCAGGAGGGCUGAACAGGGCACAUGAUUGGAAUCAUUUGCUGGUGUCAUGGCUCUAAAGCAAACGGUGACCAGGAGCAGGAAGGAAGCAGACCUGGAGCUAGUCUACACGGAAUGUUAAUCUGGAGUAACUUUUGAAUUUGAUUGAUUCCAUUUUACUCCCAAAGUAAAUUAUAGUAUAUCAUAUUAACACUACUUACAUAUUUAAUGAAAGCAUCCACAUUGGGAUUGAAUGCAGUUUAAGUAAUCUGCUUUUAAUAGACACCAUGUAUAAUUUGAAUUAUUUUUCCUCUGCAUUCCUGUGUAUGCAAACCCUCCAGGGCACUGUCUUUUUGGCACUGUGCCUCUGGGGUGAUGCCUCUCACACAGAUUUCCUUAUGUGGAGCAUUGUCUAACACCAGAUAUCACCCAUAAGGUUUUUAUAUCUUCAUUAACUACUACACAGAUGCUGCAGUGCCCAUCUAACAUGGGUGCAUUUAGCAUCACUGACAGCCUCUGGCUAAGAUAAUUGUCAAAACAGAGAAGCUUACGCUAGGCAUGGAUAAAUCGCAUUUUAUUUACAUGAAUUGCUUGUACUCUAAGCUUGCUCUGUUCAUUCUACUAAAAUUAACUUGUAGAAGAACUGGAAAAUUCUGCCAGUUGUGACGCUGUGCUGUUGCACUGCUGUGUGCAGCAACAACCUUGCUGAGGCCACUACUAAAACACAACAUAUGGGUUGUAUCUGCUGAGGGGUUGAUCCCAGACUGAUGCAUUGAAGUUGAUUAUCUUCUUUUCCCCCUCAUCCCCUCCUGGGAUAAAUCCAUAGUUUUAACCUGCAGGCAGAUGAGAUAUCCCAGUGCAGAGUCCAGCUUACUGCUUGCAGAAGGCAGCAGAGCUGCUCCGUGUGCCAGCCUGCAGAUACCACCGUGGGCUUGAAUGCUUGGGAACCCACUUGCCUCUCCAAAAAGGUCAGGUAAUCCAUAGGGAAACAACUGGCCAGAAACAAAAACUUGCACCUUCAGUGACUGCCCUUUACCCUGAGUCAGAUUUUAUUAUCUCAAACAGUACAGAAAAAUCAGAAAAAUAACAGUGCAUUUAAAAUUUUAUUUCCCCUUUGGGUGAAUUUAUAGCACAUCUCUUCCAAGCACGUAUAUGUGUGUAUAUACACAUGUGAGUUUGUACUUAUAUAUACACACAUAUAUAUACAAGAACUGACCAGAUUUUGAAAGCAUUUAGCAAUAAGUUGAAUUACAGUAGCUUCUAGCACAUCUGUCAGUCGUGUGAAUAGCUCAUUUUCCACAGCACCCUCGAGCUCAGUGUAAGUUUGCACACAGGCAUUGUCUUUGCAUAGGAGCCUUCAUGUCUCACCCUUGCCAGUUCUGUUGUAUGGGCAAAAAGGGAACCUGCUAUAUUUGGAUGUAAAUAGCGAGAAUUGAACAGAGAAUUUUCAGAAUUUUUAUAAGUGUUUUUAAAAAAAUUCAGCGCCAGAACUGUAAAUAUGCCAACCUCAGCUGGACCUGUUCUGAUGUCCAUCUCUUGUUUGGAUGAAGAGCCAAGGGGACUGCCUUACAGCGCCUGCGUUCCUCCCAGCCAGUGGGGGAGAACACUUCUGUGAAUGGUUAAAUACUGUCAUGUACCCAACUUUCUUUGGGUCAUUCACAUCAGGGCUUUGUGAUGCUGCUAUUAAUUUAUUAAAGAAAGUUUGUUGGUUUAAUCAUUCUUCUUUUUUUUUUUUUUUUUAUGGUUAUCAGAAAAUAAAUAAGUGAACAUGCCCUCUCUUUCUUUCAUCUGUCCCCAGUUAAAAUAUGUCCUGAUCAAAAAACCAAAUCAAUAACAAAAGAGGAUAAGGAUGUAUACUUAAAGUAUGGCCCACAGCUGCUGAAUCACAGGAAUUAGUGUCAGCAGAUGUCCCAACACUCCCAACCCCAAAACUUGUUAAAUGUGAAAGCAGUGAUAGACUAUUCUCCCUCUUCAAAUUGCUCCCUCCAGGAAUAACUGUUAAAAUUUACAAUUUUUAAACUACGUAAAUUUGAAGAAUCAAUUUAGUUCUCUGAAACUUAACCAAAGUCAAGUUGUCCCCACAGCUCCCUUGCUUCUCCUGAGAUGUAGCCAUUCUGGUGCCUCCAGAAGCCCUGCCUGGGGCUGUCCUGCGGGAACACCUGCUGGAAGCUCUGUGUGAGUCCUCAAAUCUCAGCUCAGAUGGAGCUGUGUGAGUGGGCUCACGGGACAGCACACACGCAACAAACAGACCACCCCCUUUGACUUGCACUGGAGAAUCUGCUCCUGGGGGCAGCCCAGGUUGGAACUGGUGUUUUCCUGAGCUGUAGGGCCUUGCAGUCUUCCCUGCCUGAGGCCAGAAGCAAGGCUGGCCAUGGUGUACAAAACCUCAUGGCUGGGCAGUCUGGUUUCCAGACCUGAGCUGGCUCAUCUGCAUCUGUUCAUGUUGCCCCACACAGCCAGGUCUGGGGUGUAGCAUCCGUGAGAUCAGCCAUGGUGGCUUUGGGGACCUGUGUGAGCCUCACAGACUGUGCUUUGAGGAGAAGGCCUGCUCCUCCCUGUGCUUGCUGAAGAUAAGAGCAGAUACCCAGAGGCUGUAGCAUUUGGGAGGCGAGAGGGUUCAGAGCCAAUGCUGAGGAGUCUCAAGGCAUCCCACCUCAGCACGGCUCUCUAUUGUCUGAACAACUAGACACUCAUGUCAAUCCUUAGAGCAAUUCUUCUGGAGAGCCCUGCGAAGAGUUUCAUCACUGGUGUGGAGUGUGUCCAGUUCUCUUUCCAGUCAGCAUCCGAGGUGUUGGAGCCAUGAGGGCCCUGGAUACGGAGACCCAAAUUCCAAAGAAGAAACAUCUUUUAAGGAAGAAAAGCAAACCACAAGCAGCCCUUCAGAAAUAUCGUUUAACUUUGAGCUCAUGAAGGGUGUCUGAUACUGCAGCAGACAAAUUGUGCAUUCCAAAAGCAGAGCCCGUCAUGUGACAAAGGAGCAGAUGUCUCUUGGAUGGCUUUCCUCUCUGUGUCACAGUAUCAUCAGGAUAGCUACAUGCCAAGAACUGCACUUGGCUUUGUCUCCAUUUCGGGGGCGGAAAAGGCAUCAGAAGCUUUUUCCUGGGAAAAGGCACGCAAAGACCACCAAGCCUUGAGCAGGUGAAGCAGGAGGACAGAGAUAGACAGAUGUGUGCUCGCAUCUGUGCACAUGAACACACACACCCCAGAGACCCCAGAGAGCCACAGGAGAUGUCAUCACACUUUAGUCUUCUCUUGAUAAAAUGGGAGUAUCUGAAAAGCCGGGGAGGAAACCUGUGACAGGGAGAUCAAAUUCUCAGGUCUUCUGCUUGUUUGUUUUUCACACACUGAAACCUGUGCUCUGAAGCUGUCCGAAAACAUCUCUGUGAUGUGCCCUUCCCUCUCAGCUGUGCAGGGAUGCUGCAAUCCCAUAACAACAUGGAGAUGGGGAGGCUUCAGCUAGAACAUUUUCUGUGACAUUCUGGGGAGGAAGACUUCAGUGCCUCUCCUGUGGAGCCCGCACUUCCCAAAGAUCAUGACACUGCUCAAAGCAACAGAGAAGUGCAAAUUCCCAGCAGAGAUCUCAGCUGUGUUGGGGGUUCCUUCCCUACAGGCACCAGUAAUUCAUGUCCCAGAAGGUGUCCAGAGAAGAUCCACAGGUUGCAGUGACUCACCAGUGAAGCCGUGGCAAGGUGUACUGAAGACAAAGCUGCCUGCAUCCUGCACCAGGCUGUCCUGUGAGAGCAUUCAGCAAAGUGCAGGGAUGAGUUACUGACUGCAACACAGCCGGUGGUGCAGCCAACCAUGGUCAGCAGUGGUGGUUUUCCUUUGCCAGACCUUCACCCCUUACCUUAAGGGUAAAUAAAUGUGAUUCCCUGUUGGUUUGUAGGUAGCUGAUACUUUUGCUUUAAAGAAUAGGUGGGACUCUGUGUUGGGCCUGAGCAGCAGCCCUGGUGAUAGGCACGGUGUGAGGACACAAGGGCCUUAUGAGAAAAGAGCAGAAACCUUGGCUUUUUCCUCCUAGCAGCCAAAGAUGGGCAAAAAAGGCUCUCCAUCAGGAUAUCGGGGAGUUCUUGUUCUGACUAAGGAGAGAGAGGAGCUAUUUAAGCUAGAGGAAGGCACUGAUAUACAGAAAGGGCAGAAAUAAAGUAAGAAUUAGAAGCAGGUUUCUAACAAGUGGGGCAUUCCAAGUCUGGGACUGCACUUCCAGGUGAGGCAGCAGUAACAGCAACUGAAAUGCUUAGUGAGGGCUCAGCUCUUGCAUUCACACAGGAAUUUAUCCCCUAGGUACAGCAGGAGGGCCCAAGUCAGCCCACUUGUCCUCAUCCUCUGGUUUGGCAGAGCCCAGGCACCAAGCCAGCCAUCUGCACAGCAGCACCUCCCCAGGGACACGUCCCAAAAUGUGGGAAGAACAAACAUCCUGAGAAAAAAAUGCUAUUUUUGGGCUAUGGUCCUUCCAAGUUAUAGCAAAGCCACGAAAAAUGCCACAAUUUUGGAGGAAGGCAGGUGAGGCCGUGCCAAGUCAGCGCAUCUCCCACACGCAGGACAAGAUGAAGUCAAGGCAUUGCGAAGGCUGCGUGUUCUCAGCCCUGAGCCAGCCUCAAACUGUGUGAGGCAGUAUUUCACUUGCAUUCUCAGAAGCAUCCAGAAUCAGCCAGCUUGGCUAGCCCAGGCCUGGCUGCAUGCAGUCACGUCAGUGUGUUUUGUUUAUACAACAGCAUUUUCGUGGACAUUUGGUGUUACUGGAGAUAGUCUCAGUCUGCUCAGGAGAGCCACAACACUGAGGUAAUACCCUUUUGGGCUGCCUUCAGCUGGUGUGGUUGAACAAACACUGGUGAGAAGCUUUCAGGGCUGACCCUGCUUUGUGCUUGCACUGCCUGACUUUUAAAACACUUUUCUUUGUUGCUGUAGCCAGGAACUUCAGGCUUUUGCUUCAGUAAAGUAAAUUGUGCUGUUGGUCUUUUAAGCUCUCCAUUGUUAAGAGUGAACUUUGCUGAACCUGGCAGGCAACAAGGUUAUUGUUUUCUCAGUGUGAGUGUUUCUAAAUGAAUUGGCAUCACAGGCACAAACUUCUGGGGAGCUACCAGCCAAGAUCAAUUUGAGAGUCCCAAAGGUUGGGACAUAUUUCCAUUUCAACAGUUAAGAGCUGGAACAUCAUCAGAUAAAAGGCAAGGUCUAUUCUCUUCUGGGCUUCAUGCCUCAGGUGGGGACCUCUUGGUGGCACAAUGACUCAGGCUCCCUGGGCAGCCCUGGCUUUGCAGUCAGACCCUGUUGGGAUGUUUGGAUACCUAGAGACAGGAUGGGAUCCUGUGUCUGCUGUCUCUGUUUCCUUCUCCUGUGUAAAUUUUCUGUAGCCAUUUUAUGCUACGCUCACCUCACGUCAGGCCACUGCCUGGUUGCAUUUGUUAAAAUUUAGAGCAGCUUCACAUCUGCGUGUGCUGCUGGUGUUGGUGUCUUCUGCAGGAGAGCUGUUGCUCUGGGUGGUUUAACACACUGUGGGCAUCUGUUUGCUGUUACUUGUGUGCCAUGGCCAUGCAGGGAGAGUGCCUGGGGAGGGUGGCAUGGCCAAGAGCAGCCUUGGAGAGAGGCUUUAAUCCCUAGGAAGAUCAGGCUCUGCAUGUUUGUCUGCUAUGCAUGUUUUCUCCACUACCGCAUGAAUUCCAGUGAAGAGUAUUCUGCCACCCUUUGUUUGUUUUUAAAUCACAAAGGUAUUUAGGCAACAUUAAAGGAAGGUAUUCCCUGGUUUGUAAAAACCCCUGAUUUUAAGUACUUUUUUUUUUCCCCAAAUGAAAAUAACUCCUGCAAGUCACUGGUGCUUUGGUGAGGUGGGAAAUCCAAGCACACCAAAGGUGUGACAUGCCUUUGUCACCUCCAUUCACAGCUUCUCAGGCAAGGAAACAAAAAACAUCGUUUUUGGAUGAUCACUGAUGGUCAUGGCUCAAAUCCCCUCACUGCAACUGCAGGAACGUUUCCCACCUUCCAUCAAAGGCAAGGCAGGGCAACCUCAUUUGGCAUCUCAGAGAAGCCAGAGGUGCUGUGCAGGCUGUCCUUGCUAUCAGAGAUGAGUGCAGGCACCACUGGGGACCACAGCAGCGCUGCUACCGUGCUCAUCCAGCCUCCCAGCUUAAGGAAGCACCCACAUUGAGCUCUCCCUGCAGUGAGACCCACUUAAACACUGAGAUUGUCUCUUGGGCAGACCCAUCAAGAAAGCAAAUAUCAAAACCAUGUUUAAUAUUUUUAAAUUAGUUAUUAGUUGCCUUUUUUUUUUUUUUUUUAAAUGUGUUUAAUGGUGUAAAACUUGCUGAAAUGGCGUUUUAUUUCCUGAAUGUAGCAGUCUUGUGUUGUGUCUGGAUGCAGAUCCACACAGGAGGCAAGCAGCCCAGGAUGGCAAGGACAUGAAUCCUUAAUUUUGGGCUAAGCCUUGUGGUGUCUGUCAUUUUUCAGCUGGUUGUUUUAUCUCUCCAUACUCUAGGAAGAGUAUCUUGACACAGACAGUUUGCAGAGCAAUUUCAGCUGUUCGGACGGCUCAGCCACAAUAUGUUGCCUCAAAUUGUUCUGUUAAGCACAUGCAUCAGCUGUAUUUGUUUGCCUUGAAGCUGUGAAAACCAGAGACCCUCCUGAGAAAAUUUAGCUCCUACAUAGAAAUAAAGAGAUUGAAAAUGCUCUCAAAUGUACAAAUGCCGCACAAGGCAGCGAGCUGCAAACCUGCCAUGGCCUGUGAAGCUCUUUAGAUUAUAUCAUUAGCUACUGCAUCCCAAAGCCUUGACAUCUAGAAGCUGCAGCCAGAAGGGCUGUGCUGUCCUUCCAAGAUCUAGGCACUCCCUGGAGCUGCAGUGGCUCAGGGAUGGGUGCUGAGAUCCAUGGUGGCUCAGGGGUGAAGGAGCUGGUGCCAGAGUGAGGCAGGGACACACAGCAGGGCAGGGCCAAACCUCCAGUUUGGGCUGGUGGGACAUUUCUGAGGGUGCUCAGUGCCUUGAGCAUGGGGGAGGGCAGCAGCAAGGGCUGGUUUUGGCUGGCAUGUACCCUGGGAGAUGCAGAUCUGGGCAGUGUAGCAGCACUGGGCCAUGGUGACGAUGCCACGAGGCACAAGGCGAUGUUACCCCUCAGUCACACCCGAGCUGAAUGAUGGAGCAAAGGGGUGACACCUCUCUGCUUAGCAGGACAGAAAGAACAGGACUCUUUCUAACGGUGACAGAGCCAUUAUCCCCCCCUAUUUAAUUUUCACGCACUAAAUACCAAAUUCUGGCCGCACCGAUGCUGCACCUGCUUUCCACGUCCUUUCAUCCAAGCACAGAUGCUGACACCCAGUGGCCAUGGAAUUUCCAGCUCCCGUACAAGAGGGAAAAUUUCAGCACGGAUGCCUCAGCCGGUGAGAUACAUCAUCCGCCUUUCCAUUUCCUCAAGUGCAAGAGGAGUAAAGAGUUCCUGGGAGAUCACAGAAUGGUUAAAAUCAUCCUGGAGGAAUCUGCACAGACACACCCUGCUGCAUAUCUGGGAGUGUGAGCUGCAUCGUGACCAACAUCAGGCCCAAGGGCCCCUUUCCACGCCCUUGCAUUUGCAAUGCAUGGCUGAAACUGGACUUUCCACCUCUGCAGGCUCCCAUGGGAUGGCUGGGGCUAACCCCAUUUCUGUGGUGGCUGAGCAUGGCCUGGCAGCCUUGGCUUUGCUGACUCAGGCAGAUGAAGCAGAUGAGCUGUUCCAGCAAGCAGCUGGGCUCCACAGCACUGCCAGCCUGAUGGAUUGCUCCUUCUCUCUUCCUGGUCUCUUGAGCUGGCAAGCCCUCUAGCACUCCCGCCUUAGGAUUGUACAAAAAAAUCCCUUUUUUCUUUCAGGAUACCAGUCUGUAUUUUAGGUUGUUGGGAAAGAUCCUCGGCAUAUUUUUCCUCAGUACCUUGUGCCAACCAAACAGCUCCCACUGCUGGGUUUCUCCUCUCCCCAUUCCAUUUACCUUCCUAAGUGUGCAGCAGCUUUCAUCUUCUAAGCACUCACAAAAUAUGUUCCAGCAACCCUUUCUGUGCCGUGCCUGCUACUGCCCUGCUGCACACCAGUGAGAGAAAACUGACAAUUUUAUUAAAGAGCUGAGUUAGAGUCAACCAUAUCUAAAAGAGAGAAGCAAAUGGUACUUAAAACACACUUCUGGAUAGAGGGAAUGUUGGAACAUUAGGAUAAUUAGUGAAAUUUCACUUUUAUUUGUUCACCACUCUGCAUCCCUAAGGAUCUGUUGUCUCAGGUCAAGUCCCAUAAAGCUGCUUUUGAAAAGUGUAAAUUUUUUUUCCUUUUACAGUGAGGAAUGUUAUUGAAAUAUUUUGGGCAGCAAACACCCAGCCCUCUGACAGAAAUUACCCCUCCAUGGCUGCUGCCGCUGCUGUUACAUUUCAAAACACAUUCCCAUUCAAACCACUGAAACAUUCUGGUUUUUCAUGGAAAACUGGAACUGCUUUGGUUCCACUCCUCCUUGAAAUGCAAACAUAAACCUGUGCAGGAAGUAAAGGCAGAACAAUAGCCCUGGUUUGAGAGGACUAAUUCAUGCUUUGCCCUACCUUCC